UCAGCAGGCUUAAGCUUAGUGGCUGUUGAGAAUCUGCAGGGCUCCACAGUUGGGACCCUAGGCCCCAGUUGCAUGGACUCACCAGUGGGCUCUUCCGAUCUUUAAACUCCAGCACCACAACCUUGCUACUAUCUCGCACCUGAAACAAGCUAACAUGGUUGACACCUCUAAUUCCAUCCACCCUCCUCUCCCUAGGAGGCCUA
This 203-nucleotide long non-coding RNA is filed under the name Homo sapiens (human). Its description in RNAcentral is "HSALNT0373602". The record is from RNAcentral. Lineage: Eukaryota; Metazoa; Chordata; Mammalia; Primates; Hominidae.